Molecule: ribosomal RNA, 1381 nt
Filed under: uncultured bacterium
Lineage: Bacteria
Description: bacterial SSU rRNA
Rfam family: Bacterial small subunit ribosomal RNA
Source: RNAcentral
CCUGGCUCAGGAUGAACGCUAGCUACAGGCUUAACACAUGCAAGUCGAGGGGCAGCAUGGUCUUAGCUUGCUAAGACUGAUGGCGACCGGCGCACGGGUGAGUAACACGUAUCCAACCUGCCGUCUACUCUUGGACAGCCUUCUGAAAGGAAGAUUAAUACAAGAUGGCAUCAUGAGUCCGCAUGUUCACAUGAUUAAAGGUAUUCCGGUAGACGAUGGGGAUGCGUUCCAUUAGAUAGUAGGCGGGGUAACGGCCCACCUAGUCUUCGAUGGAUAGGGGUUCUGAGAGGAAGGUCCCCCACAUUGGAACUGAGACACGGUCCAAACUCCUACGGGAGGCAGCAGUGAGGAAUAUUGGUCAAUGGGCGAGAGCCUGAACCAGCCAAGUAGCGUGAAGGAUGACUGCCCUAUGGGUUGUAAACUUCUUUUAUAAAGGAAUAAAGUCGGGUAUGGAUACCCGUUUGCAUGUACUUUAUGAAUAAGGAUCGGCUAACUCCGUGCCAGCAGCCGCGGUAAUACGGAGGAUCCGAGCGUUAUCCGGAUUUAUUGGGUUUAAAGGGAGCGUAGAUGGAUGUUUAAGUCAGUUGUGAAAGUUUGCGGCUCAACCGUAAAAUUGCAGUUGAUACUGGAUAUCUUGAGUGCAGUUGAGGCAGGCGGAAUUCGUGGUGUAGCGGUGAAAUGCUAAGAUAUCACGAAGAACUCCGAUUGCGAAGGCAGCCUGCUAAGCUGCAACUGACAUUGAGGCUCGAAAGUGUGGGUAUCAAACAGGAUUAGAUACCCUGGUAGUCCACACGGUAAACGAUGAAUACUCGCUGUUUGCGAUAUACUGCAAGCGGCCAAGCGAAAGCGUUAAGUAUUCCACCUGGGGAGUACGCCGGCAACGGUGAAACUCAAAGGAAUUGACGGGGGCCCGCACAAGCGGAGGAACAUGUGGUUUAAUUCGAUGAUACGCGAGGAACCUUACCCGGGCUUAAAUUGCAGAUGAAUUACGGUGAAAGCCGUAAGCCGCAAGGCAUCUGUGAAGGUGCUGCAUGGUUGUCGUCAGCUCGUGCCGUGAGGUGUCGGCUUAAGUGCCAUAACGAGCGCAACCCUUGUUGUCAGUUACUAACAGGUUCCGCUGAGGACUCUGACAAGACUGCCAUCGUAAGAUGUGAGGAAGGUGGGGAUGACGUCAAAUCAGCACGGCCCUUACGUCCGGGGCUACACACGUGUUACAAUGGGGGGUACAGAGGGCCGCUACCACGCGAGUGGAUGCCAAUCCCCAAAACCUCUCUCAGUUCGGACUGGAGUCUGCAACCCGACUCCACGAAGCUGGAUUCGCUAGUAAUCGCGCAUCAGCCACGGCGCGGUGAAUACGUUCCCGGGCCUUGCACACACCGCC